Molecule: non-coding RNA, 192 nt
Filed under: Pedobacter sp.
Lineage: Bacteria; Pseudomonadati; Bacteroidota; Sphingobacteriia; Sphingobacteriales; Sphingobacteriaceae
Also listed under: 1 other name
Source: RNAcentral
UACUUUUGCAGCGCUUUUGGUUUCCGGCUUUACAACCGGAAUUAAAAGGGAAUGCAGUGUAAUUCUGCAACUGUCCCGCAGCUGUAAGCUCCAUAACGGUAUUUCAAUCUAAAGCCACUGUUUUUAAAAAAAGGCGGGAAGGCAGAAAAUCCGGGAGCAAGUCAGAAGACCUGCCUUAGCGAAUAAUUUCAU